Molecule: microRNA, 22 nt
Filed under: Heligmosomoides polygyrus
Lineage: Eukaryota; Metazoa; Nematoda; Chromadorea; Rhabditida; Heligmosomidae
Description: hpo-miR-10116-3p
Source: miRBase by way of RNAcentral
CACGUCUUUGGCUUCCCAGGUG